Molecule: ribosomal RNA, 405 nt
Filed under: uncultured bacterium
Lineage: Bacteria
Description: bacterial SSU rRNA
Rfam family: Bacterial small subunit ribosomal RNA
Source: RNAcentral
UGGGGGAUAUUGCGCAAUGGGGGAAACCCUGACGCAGCAACGCCGCGUGAAGGAAGAAGGUUUUCGGAUUGUAAACUUCUUUUAUUAAGGACGAAUAAUGACGGUACUUAAUGAAUAAGCUCCGGCUAACUACGUGCCAGCAGCCGCGGUAAUACGUAGGGAGCAAGCGUUGUCCGGAUUUACUGGGUGUAAAGGGUGCGUAGGCGGCUUUGCAAGUCAGAUGUGAAAUCUAUGGGCUCAACCCAUAAACUGCAUUUGAAACUGUAGAGCUUGAGUGAAGUAGAGGCAGGCGGAAUUCCCCGUGUAGCGGUGAAAUGCGUAGAGAUGGGGAGGAACACCAGUGGCGAAGGCGGCCUGCUGGGCUUUAACUGACGCUGAGGCACGAAAGCGUGGGUAGCAAACAGG